This 596-nucleotide long non-coding RNA is filed under the name Nicotiana tabacum (common tobacco). Its description in RNAcentral is "long non-coding RNA (NTAB_LNC011621)". Lineage: Eukaryota; Viridiplantae; Streptophyta; Magnoliopsida; Solanales; Solanaceae. The record is from RNAcentral.
AGAACCAAAAACCUAGGGAUUUCCUCUGAAACUCCUCCCAUCCAUCUAGCCAAGCAUAACAACAAUUUAGUCAUCCUCAAGAUGGAGAACACCAUGGUAGCUUCGGAAUCGUGAAUUCUUCGGUGUUUCACUUUUCAUAGCAAGACUCCGCCUUGAAGAAAUUUCGAAUUUUGAGUAAUUCUGGUCACAUAAGGUAUGAUUUAACUUCCUCUUUGAUCUUUGUAAACUUCUACCAUAAGAAUUCCUAAGAAAUAGUUGAAACCUCUAUAGAAAUGUUCUUGAUUUUGUUAAGAAACCUCUCUUAAUAUGACUUGAUUGAUGGGCCUGUUCUAUAUGGUUUUAUUGUGUUGUUUGGAUCUGUGAAGACAUGGGUGGAUUCCUGUCGAUGAGGAGAUGUAGUAAAGUAAAAUUUGGUGGUGUGUUGGGGGGAAUUAAUCUGCAAAAUAGUCUACAAAUUCAUGGCCACAAGUUGUUCGCGUAAAUGUCUAAAUGAAGAAUUAUAUAAGCUAUGAUCUUGAAUUUGAUUUUGAAUGGUUUGUAUUAUGUAGGAAAUCAUUCCUAAGGCUUUUGAGGUCUUGGAAACAGUAUAUAACUUC